GUGGCGGCGUGCUUAACACAUGCAAGUCGAACGAAGCAUCUCGCCCGAAGAAAUGGAGUGCUUGCACAAAGUGGAUCAAUUGAGAUGACUGAGUGGCGGACGGGUGAGUAACGCGUGGGUAACCUGCCCUAUACAGGGGGAUAGCAGUUGGAAACGACUGAUAAUACCGCAUAAGCGCACAGUACCGCAUGGUACAGUGUAGAAAAACUCCGGUGGUAUAGGAUGGACCCGCGUCUGAUUAGCUAGUUGGUGAGGUAACGGCUCACCAAGGCGACGAUCAGUAGCCGACCUGAGAGGGUGACCGGCCACAUUGGGACUGAGACACGGCCCAAACUCCUACGGGAGGCAGCAGUGGGGAAUAUUGCACAAUGGGCGAAAGCCUGAUGCAGCGACGCCCGCGUGAGUGAUGAAGUAUUUCGGUAUGUAAAGCUCUAUCAGCAGGGAAGAUAAUGACGGUACCUGACUAAGAAGCACCGGCUAAAUACGUGCCAGCCGCAGC
This 499-nucleotide ribosomal RNA is filed under the name uncultured bacterium. Its description in RNAcentral is "bacterial SSU rRNA". It matches the Rfam family "Bacterial small subunit ribosomal RNA", at positions 37 to 518 of the family's 1533-position model. The record is from RNAcentral.